UCUCUCACGUAUGUACUUGUUAAGCCUUUAAGAGAAAAGUUUACAACUUAAGGAAUUAUAACAAAGAAGUAACACAUAAUAAGUUUACCUUAUUUAGUGUGUAUCAAUCGAGUUUCUGACCUAUCAGCUUUUGAUGUUAGGGUAUUGGCCUAACAUGGCUAUGACGGGUAACGGGGAAUUAGAGUUCGAUUCCGGAGAGGGAGCCUGAGAAAUAGCUACCACAUCUAAGGAAGGCAGCAGGCGCGUAAAUUACCCAAUUCUAAAGAAGAGAGGUAGUGACAAGAAAUAACAAUACAAGGCCAUUUCAUGGUUUUGUAAUUGGAAUGAUGGGAAUUUAAAACCUUCCCAAAAUUCAAUUGGAGGGCAAGUCUGGUGCCAGCAGCCGCGGUAAUUCCAGCUCCAAUAGCGUAUAUUAAAAUUGUUGCAGUUAAAACGCUCGUAGUUGAAUUUCAAAGAAUCAAUAUUUUAAGUAAUGCUUUUGGUUUAAGAUGCUUAGGCAAUACCACGUAUCUGCUCUUUGCAUUCCUUAUCCAAAAUGUGUUCUUAUUAUAAAAAGGAUUCUUUUUAAAAUCUCCUUUACUUUCUUGUACAGGAGAUUUUGUUACUUUGAGUAAAUUAGAGUGUUCAAAGCAAACAGUUAAAGCAUUUUACUGCGUUUGAAUACUACAGCAUGGAAUAACAAAAUUGAACAAGUCAAAAUUCUGUUCCUUUUUCUUAUUUUGGCU
RNAcentral lists this ribosomal RNA (725 nucleotides) under Plasmodium ovale (malaria parasite P. ovale). Its description in RNAcentral is "SSU rRNA". It matches the Rfam family "Eukaryotic small subunit ribosomal RNA", at positions 191 to 864 of the family's 1831-position model. Lineage: Eukaryota; Apicomplexa; Aconoidasida; Haemosporida; Plasmodiidae. The record is from RNAcentral.